This 2121-nucleotide small RNA is filed under the name Rattus norvegicus (Norway rat). RNAcentral's name for it is "uncharacterized LOC102548553". The record is from RNAcentral. Lineage: Eukaryota; Metazoa; Chordata; Mammalia; Rodentia; Muridae.
UGAGCCAUCUCUCCAGCCCUGAGUUGGUCUGCUGUAGAAGUAGAUUCCAACAGAUGUGCUGGCAGGUAAGUGCAAUCAGUCCAAGAAGUGUGAAUCUUCCUUCUUCCAGUGUUCUUAGGUAGGCCUCCAGCAGAAGGUGGGGCCCAGAUUAAGGUGUGUACCAACAUGCCUGGACCUGGGACUUGCUUUGUCCCCAGCUGACCUUGAACUCAGAUGUCUCCUUGCCUCAGUCUCCUGGGAGUAAAGGAGUGUACUACUUUAUCUGGGCCUAAACUUUUCUUCGUGGCAACUAUACCUCAAGGUCUUCAUGUCAGGAUCCAGAUCUGAAACGUGUGUCUUCCAGCCUCGAGAUCUGCAUCACAAGUGCAUCUUCCAAUUCUGGGUUGUGAUUCAUUCCAGAUAUAGUUAAAUUGAGAACCAGGAAUGGCCACCACAGUGCUAGAUAUGGGUAAUUUUCCUUUCCUAAGAGGGCCUGGCUGUUAUGCAUGUGAAAUGAAUUUAUAAUAACAAGAAGAAAAUAGGUUCAGACUAAAGUUAUUUUUAAAUAAGAGCUGUAUUUGGUGCAGAAGAAUAAACACAGGCUUCGGAGCUUGAGGUCACUUCAAUCAGAAAGUGCUUCUGAAAUCCAGCUAGGAGUAAGCAGAGGAACAAGAAACUUCCCUGUGUAGUUCUGAAUAUUAAAACUAAAUUGUUUUGCAGGAAGAGUGCACUAGUCUUAACUAUGCAGGUGCCACUGUCUUGAAGACAUUUGCCUGGUGGCAUAGUCCCUGUUCCCCCUUGGGCAACUCUGACUCCUGCCAAUCCUAUGCUGGUUCUUUAAAUAUUGCUCAGACCUUCUUGCCUCUGCUUUGUACCUGUUUUUGUGUCAGACCUUUAAACAUUUUGGACUUGAGUUUGAGUGCAUUUCUUAACUUAGGUGACUGUGUUUGUCAUCUCUGUGUUUUAAACCCACCCUGACUUGGCCACUAUGGUUCUUAGUUGUUCUGUCAACCGUUUGAUUAACAUAUCCGUUUCUACAUUUUGGUUUCCACUUACUUGUUUUCUCAUCCUCCCCACACUGGCACUUAUUCAACAUAGUGCUACCCAAGGCAUUUGUACUAAUAAACACCUUCAUUUUCCCAUCAUCCUCUGCUCCAUUUGUGUUCAUAGACAUCAGGUUUACAGAGACAGGCCGAUUUCCGAGGAGAUUCCCACCACAUCAAAGUAACAGACUAAGUGUGGCCCAUGUGCUGCAAGGAUUGUAAUGGGUGCAUAAAGGAGAGCAGCCUUCACUGUUGGGGAGCAGAGGUGACCUAGUGGGAUAUGUGACCAUAGUUGUUAUAGAAAGUGAUUCUUUUGUUUGUAGAAGGAGAUACAGCAAAGGCAAAAGGACAUUGGAAAUAGGAUACAUAACCAGAGGAGCCUGAGUAUUGUCUCAUCAGGGAAGUACACCAGGCAGGUUUAGCUAGAGGAGGAGCUGUGAAAUAACAGAGAAUGUUUGGGAAUGGUGGUCAGGCAACCAUAUCAAGGAAGGCCUUGUGGCCAUGCAUUCUACUGAGUUCAGAUUCUCUUCUUUGGAGACAGGCCUCUGGAAGACUGUGAACAAGACCACGAUGUGACUAGAGUGGAAGUGAAGAAAAAGCCACUCUCCUUGGAAUAUGGAGAAUAGAUUGAAGAACAGCUGUCUUCAAGACAAGAGGACAACGAUGCUGGCAAAAUGUGGGAAAUGUGGAAGCCCCUCAUAUAUUGUCAAUAUAGCUGCUGCAGAUAUCAGCAUGGACACUUUUGUAAGACUAAAAGUGAAACCACUAUAUGGCCCAACUGUACUCCAGGCAACACCAGCAGGACUGAAAGGCAAUAUACCACAGAGAAAUUUACAUAACCAUGCUUUCUGCUGCGCUAGUCACAAUUGCUAAAAAAUAGAGCUCUCCUAGAUGUCCAUCAAGAAAUCAAUGGACGGGAGCUGGAGAGAUGGCUCUGUUUAAGAGCACUGGAUGCUCUUCCAGAGAGCCUAGGUUAAAAUCUGGAAUUGAAGUUCCAGGGCAUCUGGACUCCACAUGCUCAAGGCAUACAUGUGUUCCUUGAACAUACGUGCAGGCAAAACAUAUAUACAUAUGAAAUAAACAAAGAGUAAAUAAAAAA